RNAcentral lists this ribosomal RNA (476 nucleotides) under uncultured organism. RNAcentral describes it as "partial 16S ribosomal RNA". It matches the Rfam family "Bacterial small subunit ribosomal RNA", at positions 330 to 797 of the family's 1533-position model. The record is from RNAcentral.
CGUACACUCCUGCGGGAGGCAGCAGUGGGGAAUAUUGCACAAUGGGCGCAAGCCUGAUGCAGCCAUGCCGCGUGUAUGAAGAAGGCCUUCGGGUUGUAAAGUACUUUCAGCGGGGAGGAAGGCGAUAAGGUUAAUAACCUUGUUGAUUGACGUUACCCGCAGAAGAAGCACCGGCUAACUCCGUGCCAGCAGCCGCGGUAAUACGGAGGGUGCAAGCGUUAAUCGGAAUUACUGGGCGUAAAGCGCACGCAGGCGGUCUGUCAAGUCGGAUGUGAAAUCCCCGGGCUCAACCUGGGAACUGCAUUCGAAACUGGCAGGCUAGAGUCUUGUAGAGGGGGGUAGAAUUCCAGGUGUAGCGGUGAAAUGCGUAGAGAUCUGGAGGAAUACCGGUGGCGAAGGCGGCCCCCUGGACAAAGACUGACGCUCAGGUGCGAAAGCGUGGGGAGCAAACAGGAUUAGAAACCCGGGUAGUCCCA